RNAcentral lists this ribosomal RNA (484 nucleotides) under uncultured bacterium. RNAcentral's name for it is "partial 16S ribosomal RNA". It matches the Rfam family "Bacterial small subunit ribosomal RNA", at positions 30 to 507 of the family's 1533-position model. The record is from RNAcentral.
AUUGAACGCUGGCGGCAGGCCUAACACAUGCAAGUCGAGCGGACGAAGGAAGCUUGUUCCUGGAUUCCGCGGCGGACGGGUGUGUAAUGCACACGAAUCUGCCUGGUCGAGGGGGCUAACGUCCGGUCACGGGCGCUAAUAUCGUACAGGUCCUGAUGUUGAAAGGGGUGGUUCUUCGGAGAUCGCCGUAUCAGCUGAGCCUAGGCCGGAUUAGCUAGCUGGUGGGGUAAAGGCCUACGAAGGCGACUAUCCGUAACUGAUCUGAGAGGGUGAUCAGUCACACUGGAACUGAGACACGGUCCAGACUCCUACGGGAGGCAGCAGUGGGGAAUAUUGCGCAAUGGGCGAAAGCCUGAUCGAGCAAUGCCGCGUGUGUGAUGAAGGUCUUCGGAUUGUAAAGCACUUUAAGUUGGGAGGAAGGGCUGUGAGUGAAACUCUUCCUGUUUUGACGUUACCUACAGAGAAAGCACCGGCUAACUACGUG